RNAcentral lists this ribosomal RNA (263 nucleotides) under uncultured bacterium. RNAcentral's name for it is "partial 16S ribosomal RNA". It matches the Rfam family "Bacterial small subunit ribosomal RNA", at positions 337 to 591 of the family's 1533-position model. The record is from RNAcentral.
UCCUACGGGAGGCAGCAGUAGGGAAUCUUCGGCAAUGGACGAAAGUCUGACCGAGCAACGCCGCGUGAGUGAGGAAGGUUUUCGGAUCGUAAAACUCUGUUGGUAGAGAAGAACGUUGGUGAGAGUGGAAAGCUCAUCAAGUGGCGGUAACUACCCAGAAAGGGACGGCUAACUACGUGCCAGCAGCCGCGGUAAUACGUGGGUCCCGCGCGUUGUCCGGAUUUUUUGGGCGUAAAGAGGGCGCAGGGGGGUUAUUAAGUCUG